Molecule: long non-coding RNA, 1334 nt
Organism: Ornithorhynchus anatinus (platypus)
Lineage: Eukaryota; Metazoa; Chordata; Mammalia; Monotremata; Ornithorhynchidae
Exons: 3
Source: RefSeq, a predicted model, not a curated record
ACAUAAAUGCUGCAGGGCAAAUAGCGGAUGUCUAAAGGUCACCGAUCGAAAGGUGUAGGCGAUGCAGAGUGGCAAAAGAAGCCAACAAAAUAUGUGGAGAGGAAGGGAGAUCCAGGCCGGGGGAAGACCGUGGAAAAGGAAUCGGAGGCGACAGAGUUGAAAUGGAGGCCCAGAGAGGAAGCCGGCGCAGUAAGACUGAACUGCCACCAGGUGGCGAUAGAGAAACGCGGCCGCCCAGAAUCACCAUUUGGGAGCGAAGCAGCGCCGCCUGGUGGCUACAGCCCGGGCCUGCGCGUCUGAAGAAGCUGCAUCCUUAAUCCAGCCCCUUCCACGUCUUUGCUGGGUGACCUUAGGACCAAGGAAGGAGCCUGAGCCCCAGGUGAUUCAUGGGAGACCCGGCCCCCUGGCCCAUCCCUGCCUCUCUAAGGACAUCUUGGUGUGGACAGGACUGGACAGAAUGGAAGCCACAACGCAGCCCCGAACCGGACCUCCAGGGCCCACGGACAGUGGAGGAAGGACCAGCUACUCACCGGCUGCCAUCGACACUGAUAAAUUGCGCCGGCCCUACUGAGAGGAAAUUUGUUGACACGAGGCUGCUGUCCCCUGGCCACCCCCUUCCCGCCCCCUAGCCUGCAACUGUAUCCCCUCCUUCCAGACAGUGCCAUUUCUUUUGGGGGGUUAAGGGUCAAACACUGCAUCAUGGGUGCCAAAUCAAUCCCUUGCAACUCCAGGAGGGUAUGGAGGUGUGUGCAUGUGUGUGUGCCUCAUGCGUGAGAGCGAGGGCCGGGACCAGAGCAGGGUCAGAGGGGCCACCCCUCUUGGGCUGGGUAAAGGGUUAUGGAAACAGGGGUCUAGAGUUUGGGGCCGGUACUCCGUGGGCGGAUCCGAGCGGGUGUGAAGUCGCACUGGGGCCCUUAAUUCUAUAGUCAGUGCGACAUCCUCCUAGCCUGUUCUGCCCUGUGGGAGUUUCCUGCCUAACUCAGACUUCAAGAGUACAGACUCCCUUUCCCGUCCAGGGGGGUGCCCCUGGGGGAGCGGGGUUAGGGACAGGUUCAGUCAAGGAUGUGCAUGUGUCUGUCUGCAUGUAUGUAUGUGUGACUACCCUGUGUCUUCCAAUCCUCCUGGAUGAGCAGAAAGAGGGGUGGAGAGAACUAACAGCAAAUGCUAGAGUGGGAAGAUGCAAAGUGGUUUCCCCCAUCCUACCAACAGAAAUGGCACGGUCUGGCCCCCUUCUCUCCCCUUCCUCUCCUUCUCUCAUCUCUGUCCCCUUGGCAGCCUGGGAUCUGUAAGCCCAAAUGUCUCUGUUUGAAAUAAAACGUAUACAUUCUUCAUCA